This 499-nucleotide ribosomal RNA is filed under the name uncultured bacterium. RNAcentral describes it as "bacterial SSU rRNA". It matches the Rfam family "Bacterial small subunit ribosomal RNA", at positions 28 to 516 of the family's 1533-position model. The record is from RNAcentral.
GAUGAACGCUAGCUACAGGCUUAACACAUGCAAGUCGAGGGGCAGCAUGAUUGAAGCUUGCUUCAAUUGAUGGCGACCGGCGCACGGGUGAGUAACACGUAUCCAACCUUCCGUACACUCAGGGAUAGCCUUUCGAAAGAAAGAUUAAUACCUGAUGGUAUCUUAAGCACACAUGUAAUUAAGAUUAAAGAUUUAUCGGUGUACGAUGGGGAUGCGUUCCAUUAGGUAGUAGGCGGGGUAACGGCCCACCUAGCCUACGAUGGAUAGGGGUUCUGAGAGGAAGGUCCCCCACAUUGGAACUGAGACACGGUCCAAACUCCUACGGGAGGCAGCAGUGAGGAAUAUUGGUCAAUGGACGAGAGUCUGAACCAGCCAAGUAGCGUGAAGGAUGAAGGUCCUACGGAUUGUAAACUUCUUUUAUAAGGGAAUAAAACCUCCCACGUGUGGGAGCUUGUAUGUACCUUAUGAAUAAGCAUCGGCUAACUCCGUGCCAGCAGCC